GCCUGAUGAGAAUUCUUGGACUUCCAGGGUCUCUGACCCUACCGGCCGAGCCUGAUGAGAAUUCUUGGACUUCCAGGGUCUCUGACCCUACUGGUUGAGCCUGAUGAGAAGUCUUGGACUUCCGGGGUCUCUGAUCCUACCGGCCGAGCCUGAUGAGAAGUCUUGUACUUCCAGGGUCUCUGACCCUACUGACCAAGCCUGAUGAGAAGUCUUGGACUUCCAGAGUCUAUGACCCUACCGGCCUAGCCCGACGAGAGGUGUCCAGAGCAUAGGUGCAAGCGGGACAGGGCCGCUUGUCGUCCUAGAUGUCUUAGACUUCCAGGGUCUCUGAUCCUACCGGCCGAGCCUGAUGAGAAGUCUUGGACUUCCAGGGUCUCUGACCCUACCGGCCGAGCCAGACGAGAGGUGACUAGAGCAUACAUGCAAGCGGGACAGGGACACUUGUCGUCCUAGAUGUCUUAGACUUCCAGGGUCUCUGACCCUACCGACCGAGCCUGAUGAGAAGUCUUGGACUUCCAGGGUCUCUGACCCUACCUGCCGAGCCAGACGAGAGGUGUCUAGAGCAUACGUGCAAGCGAGACAGGGCCGCUUGUCGUCCUAGAAGUCUUAGGCUUCCAGGGUCUCUGACCCUACCGGCCGAGCCUGAGGAGAAGUCUUGGACUUCCAUGGUCUCUGACCCUACCGGCCGAGCCUGAUAAGAAGUCUUGGACUUCCAGAGUCUCUGACCCUACCGUCCAAGCCUGCUGAGAGGUGUCCAGAGCAUACGUGCAAGCGGGACAGGGCCGCCUGCCAUCCUGGAAGUCUUGGACUUCCAGAGUGUCUGGCCCUAACAGCCAAGCCCAAAGAUAGGACUCAGAAACGGAUGCGCAGUAUCAGCUUUAAACGCAAUGUCGAGAGACUGUUCUCGAAAGGGAACAAUGUAAAGCUAGGCAAACACUAAACAUACUAGCCUAAACUGAACUAUUAACUUCACAGUAAACUAAACUUUAUAUAACUAGAUUUAAUAGACUGUACACAGGAAACAUACAAACGAAUCAGCACAGGACAGCAAACACAAGCUUAUCAAGAUGUGGGGCAUAUACUGUAACAAUAGCAAGAUAAUUAACAAACAAUGGCAAUGUGCUUUCACACAAAACAAGUAACGUUGUCACGAUCCUGACACAAGACUAGAAAAGCAUGAAUGAUAGAGGCAGGAUCGUGACAUAUGGUGAAAUUGUCAUAUUUUUUUCUUUAACCUCUUCUGUGAGUUUAAUUUGUUUUACAGAUAAUAAAAACACUUGAUAGAAUGUUGUUGGAUGAACAACUCAUAUCUUAAAUCGCUCAAUCAUGUUCGGCCAUCAACUCUCAGCAUCAAUGAUGAGGCACUUGAGGCGUGGCAGACUGUGCAGAAUGGCACAUCUCAAAACCUGCAGCUGGACAAUAAGAGGUAGGAAGCUGCAGGUGAGGGGAAAAACAAAGAUGAAGCAGGAGGACCAGGCUCCAUGUCUGAUGGAAAGCUCUACAUACAGCCAUCAGUCAUUCAGAACACCUGAGAGGAUGCUGCACAUUCACUGUGCUGAAAAUCAAUCAGUAAAAUGAAAAAUAAAAGACGUUUUGAUUUAAUUUGUCAAUUUUGCAAUCUUGGACCAACAACUGCUUAUGUCAGUGGUGUAAUCAUGAAAUACUUCCUAAACCAGCAGUUGUCAUAGAGAUGUAACACAGUACUGAUUUUUUUUUCUUUCACUUACAAUAUAACAAAGAUGUUUUUUUCUGAAU
This is a long non-coding RNA of Paramisgurnus dabryanus, 1755 nucleotides long. RefSeq lists it as uncharacterized. Lineage: Eukaryota; Metazoa; Chordata; Actinopteri; Cypriniformes; Cobitidae. The record is from RefSeq and is a predicted model, not a curated record.